This 253-nucleotide ribosomal RNA is filed under the name uncultured bacterium. RNAcentral's name for it is "partial 16S ribosomal RNA". It matches the Rfam family "Bacterial small subunit ribosomal RNA", at positions 524 to 776 of the family's 1533-position model. The record is from RNAcentral.
UACGGAGGGUGCGAGCGUUAAUCGGAAUUACUGGGCGUAAAGCGUGCGCAGACGGUCACGUAAGUCGGGUGUGAAAGCCCCGGGCUCAACCUGGGAAUUGCAUUCGAGACUGCGUGGCUAGGGUGCGGAAGAGGGAAGCGGAAUUUCCGGUGUAGCGGUGAAAUGCGUAGAUAUCGGAAGGAACACCAGUGGCGAAAGCGGCUUCCUGGUCCAGCACCGACGUUCAGGCACGAAAGCGUGGGGAGCAAACAGG